CAUUUUUUGUUUUUCUAGCCUCUGCAAGACCAAUUAAAGAUUGUAAUUGUCUUAAUUUGGCUACAGUUUCUAAAAGUUUUUCCGUGAGCUUUUCUUAAAAAUAAAAAAUAAAAAAAUAUUCCUUGAGUCGCUAUGAGAACCUUAAUUGUGCUCACAUCUCAUCAGAAUACCUCCGAUCAAAGGAUCGACCUGAGAAACACCCGCCAAUUAAUGAACCUUAUUACAAAGGUGUAAUGAUGAGUGGUAAUCUUUUUGAACGGAUGUUCCAAUAACCUAGAAAUAGGUUUGUUUUAUUGAGCAGAACACAAGUUGAAACCAGUUUGAUGAUCAAUACCAAAAACAAGCAGAAGCAUGGUUUGUUUGAUCAACUUAUGAACCCACUUCAACAACCUCGCGACCUUUCUCUACGGAGACCUUGAAAGCAUCCAGAAUUAGUUGUGUCUUCCUAGUCAUGGCUGGCCACUGGUUAUCAGGUUCCUUACCAUUUCGCUUAAUAUCCGCAACCAAACCAGCAAAUUCACACAUCAUCAGGGUCUCCUAAGGAAGAUCGUUUGUGUCAGAGUGCUCACUAGGCCUUGCUUCCCAUUCUGUCAAAAGCCCCUCCGAGCAAGACUUCGAACCCCGCAGAAUACGAAGCAGUGUUGUGUUUACUAUAUCAACUCCUUUACGUAUAUAGCUUAAAAUCUUUAAUGCUUCUUUGCCAAUAUUGGUACUUGAAAUCUUUUCGAAGGGGCUUUCAUUUAUUUCUUGAUUGAUGAGGCAAACACUUUUUUUUCUUUCUUCCUUGUAUUUUUCAAAAUAUUCUAUUGAAUUUGAAAUAGAAUGGUUUUGUCUUGUAUCUCCUUAUAACCUUUGUUUACAACCUUUCAUGCAUAUUGCCUACUAAGCAAAACUUUUAUCUUGAUACUCCAAGUAUUGUAAUUAUUUUUGUUAAGUUGAGGAA
Molecule: long non-coding RNA, 943 nt
Organism: Vitis vinifera (wine grape)
Lineage: Eukaryota; Viridiplantae; Streptophyta; Magnoliopsida; Vitales; Vitaceae
Exons: 2
Source: RefSeq, a predicted model, not a curated record